GUGCUCGCUUCGGCAGCACAUAUACUAAAAUUGGAAUGAUACAGAGAUUAGCAUGGCCCCUGCCCAAGGAUGAACUGGAUUUUGAAGAAAUGCAACAGGAACAA
Molecule: small nuclear RNA, 104 nt
Organism: Dama dama (fallow deer)
Lineage: Eukaryota; Metazoa; Chordata; Mammalia; Artiodactyla; Cervidae
Source: RefSeq, a predicted model, not a curated record